RNAcentral lists this ribosomal RNA (484 nucleotides) under uncultured bacterium. RNAcentral describes it as "partial 16S ribosomal RNA". It matches the Rfam family "Bacterial small subunit ribosomal RNA", at positions 30 to 507 of the family's 1533-position model. The record is from RNAcentral.
AUUGAACGCUGGCGGCAGGCCUAACACAUGCAAGUCGAGCGGAUGAAGGGAGCUUGCUCCUGGAUUCAGCGGCGGACGGGUGAGUAAUGCCUAGGAAUCUGCCUGGUAGUGGGGGAUAACGUCCGGAAACGGGCGCUAAUACCGCAUACGUCCUGAGGGAGAAAGUGGGGGAUCUUCGGACCUCACGCUAUCAGAUGAGCCUAGGUCGGAUUAGCUAGUUGGUGGGGUAAAGGCCUACCAAGGCGACGAUCCGUAACUGGUCUGAGAGGAUGAUCAGUCACACUGGGACUGAGACACGGCCCAGACUCCUACGGGAGGCAGCAGCGGGGAAUAUUGGACAAUGGGCGAAAGCCUGAUCCAGCCAUGCCGCGUGUGUGAAGAAGGUCUUCGGAUUGUAAAGCACUUUAAGUUGGGAGGAAGGGCAGUAAGUUAAUACCUUGCUGUUUUGACGUUACCAACAGAAUAAGCACCGGCUAACUUCGUG